UACGUAGGGGGCUAGCGUUGUCCGGAAUCAUUGGGCGUAAAGCGCGUGUAGGCGGCCCGGUAAGUCCGCUGUGAAAGUCGGGGGCUCAACCCUCGGAUGCCGGUGGAUACUGUCGGGCUAGAGUACGGAAGAGGCGAGUGGAAUUCCUGGUGUAGCGGUGAAAUGCGCAGAUAUCGGGAAGAACACCCGUGGCGAAGGCGGUUCUCUGGGACGGUACUGACGCUGAGACGCGAAAGCGUGGGGAGCGAACAGG
RNAcentral lists this ribosomal RNA (253 nucleotides) under uncultured bacterium. Its description in RNAcentral is "partial 16S ribosomal RNA". It matches the Rfam family "Bacterial small subunit ribosomal RNA", at positions 524 to 776 of the family's 1533-position model. The record is from RNAcentral.